Long non-coding RNA from Gallus gallus (chicken), 3889 nucleotides. The record is from Ensembl. NCBI's taxonomy places the organism in Eukaryota, Metazoa, Chordata, Aves, Galliformes, Phasianidae.
UUGAUGGAGAAGCUUAGAAGGCAAAGAAAGCCACCUCCACCUCUGUUUCUAGAGAUUACCAUUCAUUGUUUUUUUUUUAUACGCAUAGCAUUCCCUUCCCCUAACCUCUGUCUGUCUGGUGAAAUGGGCAGAAGGGAUAGAGCAGAUGAGGGGGAUCAGAAAGAGAAGGGGUGCUCACAGAAAAAAUAAGGGGACAAAAAAAAAGGGAGCUGGUCUUUGAUUCAGUUGGGGUCCAUAUUCACAAAGAGAUCACUCAGAGAUUUCAUACAAAUGGCAGGAGCAGAAUGCGAGCACACCGAGGGGCCUAAUGCAGGCACUUGUCCUGUAAUCAAAGAUUCAGCUCGACGUGAGUCCUUUGUGAGACAACAGCAUCAUUCUCCACCCGGGUUCACCCCUGAAUGCAGAGCAGCUCUCUAAAGCAAGGCAGGACGAGCCUCGCCUUUCUUUGUCUUGGUUGGAAAAUAUCAUUUUUUUCCUUCUCCUAUUUUCCUCUUUUCCUCAUUCGUUUCUCUUCUAAAGAAAACAAGCUCUCACUGUGCCUCUAGUGAAGCUGAGGAUGUUUGCGUGAGGGAGGCACUGACGGGGAGAGGAGAGCAGAGCAGCAGAUGGGCGGAAUGGAAUGGCGGGGCGAGAGCGGCUCAGCCUGCCGUGGUGGGACGUGCGGCAGCAUGGCUGACAGCUCCAGGCAGCGAGCACCAUGGCGUCCUCCUCUGCUAAAACCUUGGAAUACAAAACCCUGAUUCAAAGGACAAGUUCAUGCCUUUCCUGGCACUUGUAGAGGAAUUUCUCUGUGUUGAAGAAGGAAUGUCAGGAAAGACUUUAGGGUGUUUGAGAGCUUCAUCAGCAAACAAGGAAUGUUUGCAGGUCCAAGACCAGGAAAGUUGGCCAAAGAACAGUGAUAAGCAACAGAGAGCACCUUGCAAAUUCAGAUGGUUACUACACACAGUGGAAACACAGGAGAUGGAGGAGAAAGGACAGACUGAUGGACAUUGGUGCACAUGCUGGGAAACCAACCCAAGAAGCAGUGAGGACAAGGAUCCCAACAAGGACUCCAGCUCACUUCUAUUCAACUGUAUUAUUUGAGACUUAAGCUGCUGCAAAUGAGCAGCAGCUGUGGCUUUACCUUCCUGGACCAUUUUGGGGAGCCUUGAAGUCCCUUCUCUGCAAUGUUCUGUGUUCCUGCCCCAAAUGGAUACCUCCAGCUGCAGUAUGAAGAAGUGCUUACACUGGAGACUGAAACUAAAUAUCCAUCUAAUUCCCCUGAUUCAAGGGAAUUGAGUUGCAUACCUAGAAUACUCCCCACAGAUUGCUCCUGGGCAGGAUGGUUACCACUCCGAUCAGAGGCUGGAUGAAUCUAGUGAGAUCUCAGUUCACCUCCUCCAUGCAGGGUUACAGUCCGUAGGAUGAUUAAAAUCCAUUCCCAGCGGGGAGUGUUAUGACCCGUCCUUGAGAUUAAUAAUUUCCUCCAGUUUAUCAGUGCACACAGCAAAGGAGACAUAGGAGGAAAUCAACUGUAAAUGGCAUCUUCAAUAAUGAAGGAAAAAGCUGGAUAUCCAGAAGUCUGUUUCCUAGGCAACUGGAUGGAGGGACAAUCAGAAUCUCUCAAUUGCACCCCAUUAUAGAUAUUUUCUACACAGAUCAGUAAAAGGAAGAAAAAGGCCUUCCAUGUACCUGGAGGUCCCCCAGCCUGUGGGAGGAGCAGCGCUCCCCUGUCCCUACAUGUGCACAGAGCAGCUGCCCAGUGCUGCAGCCCUGCCAGAACCUGUCUUCAUCAUCAGUGCAUGCUGCUCUGUGUUUGCACACUUCGUGAGACCGAAGGUGUUGUGCAGCUCCAUGUCUUGUGCCAGAUGGAUGUGCACUAGCUCCAGCAGAUCCCAGGACAGAGCUAUUUAACCAAACACGCCAGUGCCUUCUCCAGAAAGACUAACAAAGCCAGCUGACUGCUCCCAGCCCAGCAGGGCAGCAACUUUUGGUUUAUAUUCACUGUUUUGUUGUACUGUAGCACGUCUUUGUAUUACAGAAAGCUAUCCUGAUAUUUUGUAUGAAAUCAAGAUAAACAAACACUUUUCACUUUUUACACUGUGAUCCUUCCCAGAGCUGAUUUCCUGAAGGUUCAUCCAGAUCUGGGACAAUAUCUACGUGAUUGCAAACCAUUCCAUGGCUCUGUUAGCCAAUAUUCCUCUAAGCCACAGACAAAUAUAGUCAGGAUAGAAAUGAAGUAUUUGACUAGCUGGAGCCCAGAGUGUCAGAGUUGUAUAACAGUCUGCAGAAAUACUGCCAGAGAAGUCUUCUGGAGGAUAAACAAAAAUAGCAUAGAGUAGUGCAUAAAAAGAAUGGUGAUAUUAACCUUUAAGUGCAGAAAUGAAAAUCAGGUACCAAUGAUAUUACCAGUUGAGAAGCAAAGUCCUCCAACAAGACAUUUUAAAAUCAUUUCAGCUUUUAAUUAUGAUGUUGUGGAACAAAAGCUGUAAAAAUAAAUCCUGUCUAAGAAAUUGCCCACUUUGAAAUGUUUCUCCCGAAGAUCUUAGUGGAUCUGUGUCUCAUUUGACAUGGGUUCUGUAAUUGUGUGUAGGCCUAAUGUGGAUCUCUAAUAAUGAUCUUUAAAGGAAUGUCUAGAACAUAAUUAUUACUAUGACAAACAAGAGAAGAUGUUUAUUUAGGCUGAAACUGUGUACGCAACAUAUGGUCCCUUCUAUACAUUUUAAAACAAAGUUGCCAAAUAUUCUUCCCCACAUAACUAAUGGUCUGCAGAGACAUAAUACAUGAACUGUAGCUGAUUCAUGCAGUAAUUUGAAAGAAUAUGUAAUUCUCAACUAUAUAUAGUAAAACACUGAUAAUGUAGGCAGGCAACAUUCUCUGAGAACAGAAAGUUUGGGAACCACUGCUUGGGAUGUAAUACUUCAAGGCCUGAAAUGUCACCCUCACUAAAGGACAAAGAUGUAACGAAAUAGAUUGUUAGUCCUUAAGUUAGACUGUCUUAGAGAAGAGAGCGGUUUCAGGUGACCUCCAAAGAUCACUUCCAAAUGAAAUCUUUCUGUGGUUUGAUUGUGUGAAUGAUUUUGUGAAUGCGUGCACUCUACCAAAGAGCCUACCCAACACAGUGGAGCCAAAAGAAUAUGACUGCAAGCCAGGCGUGUUGGGUGCCAAAAUAACUGCUGCAAACCUCUGGAAAAUGAAACCUAUGAUACAAUUCUCACAGGUGUUUCCAGUCUACAACUUCCAUUAAAACAAAACAACAAGAAGACCAGAAAAAUUAUCAGACAGUUACUGCUCUUGAGUGACCACCAUCACCUCAGUCCUGUAUGAGAGUCAAAAAAAGGUCCCUUCUCACAACCCACAGAAUGCCCCACUGAGAAAAAAUAUGAGUGUUUAUACACAGUUCCAUUAGGCUAAAAAAUCUAGGGAACCAAACAUAAAGGAACAUAUUCCUAUCUAGACCUCUUAUUGCAACUGCUUAUUAUUAGUAUUAUUAUUAUUUAUUGAGAAGUUUGAAAAGGACUGACUUGAAGAAUAUGUUUCUCAAAAUGCAGUAACUGGAAAUUUUGUUUUGUUUCGCAGUCAUUCUCAAAGUUACAGAUGUGCAUCUAUUAUCAUUGUUUGCAGGUUAUGUUUUCAAGCUUCACCUCAAUAUUUUUCUAUAUGGAUGUUGUAAUCAGCUGUUAGACAAACAGGACCUGGACAAGUUUCUAGCAAAAAAAUCUUUUUUUUUACACAAUUUAUUUACCCGAAGCCUAAUGAUUAAAGCUCAGGAAACUUCUGGGUCCCCGUUAACACUGCCUAGCACAGGGCACGCAGAUCCAUGACAUGGCUGAAGUCUGUGAUCAUGAGUUUUUACAUGAGAGCUCUGUCUGCUCCUGGACCUAUUGUGACUUGAGCAUCCCAACCUGGC